RNAcentral lists this ribosomal RNA (895 nucleotides) under uncultured bacterium. RNAcentral describes it as "bacterial SSU rRNA". It matches the Rfam family "Bacterial small subunit ribosomal RNA", at positions 30 to 902 of the family's 1533-position model. The record is from RNAcentral.
UGGACGUUGCGGGGAGUCUAUACUGCAAGUGGAACGCACAAGGUGCACCGUAGUUUACUACACCGUACUUUGUGAGUCGCGAACGGGUGAGUAACGCGUAGGUAACCUACCUUUUAGCGGGGGAUAACUAUUGGAAACGAUAGCUAAUACCGCAUAAGAUAUCUUACUGCAUAGUAAGAUAUUAAAAGAUGCAAUUGCAUCACUAAGAGAUGGACCUGCGUUGUAUUAGCUAGUAGGUGAGGUAACGGCUCACCUAGGCAACGAUACAUAGCCGACCUGAGAGGGUGAUCGGCCACACUGGGACUGAGACACGGCCCAGACUCCUACGGGAGGCAGCAGUAGGGAAUCUUCGGCAAUGGGGGGAACCCUGACCGAGCAACGCCGCGUGAGUGAAGAAGGUUUUCGGAUCGUAAAGCUCUGUUGUAAGAGAAGAACGAGUGUGAGAGUGGAAAGUUCACACUGUGACGGUAACUUACCAGAAAGGGACGGCUAACUACGUGCCAGCAGCCGCGGUAAUACGUAGGUCCCGAGCGUUGUCCGGAUUUAUUGGGCGUAAAGCGAGCGCAGGCGGUUAGAUAAGUCUGAAGUUAAAGGCUGUGGCUUAACCAUAGUACGCUUUGGAAACUGUUUAACUUGAGUGCAGAAGGGGAGAGUGGAAUUCCAUGUGUAGCGGUGAAAUGCGUAGAUAUAUGGAGGAACACCGGUGGCGAAAGCGGCUCUCUGGUCUGUAACUGACGCUGAGGCUCGAAAGCGUGGGGAGCAAACAGGAUUAGAUACCCUGGUAGUCCACGCCGUAAACGAUGAGUGCUAGGUGUUGGGUCCUUUCCGGGACUCAGUGCCGCAGCUAACGCAUUAAGCACUCCGCCUGGGGAGUACGACCGCAAGGUUGAAACUC